AUGUACCACUCGUACACUCCGGUUCCUGUGCGCCGCCCGCACCCACCUGACGACUGCUCCCGGUUGCGCUGUGCC
This 75-nucleotide small RNA is filed under the name Xanthomonas vasicola. RNAcentral describes it as "sX9 sRNA". It matches the Rfam family "Xanthomonas sRNA sX9". Lineage: Bacteria; Pseudomonadati; Pseudomonadota; Gammaproteobacteria; Lysobacterales; Lysobacteraceae. The record is from RNAcentral.